This 253-nucleotide ribosomal RNA is filed under the name uncultured bacterium. Its description in RNAcentral is "partial 16S ribosomal RNA". It matches the Rfam family "Bacterial small subunit ribosomal RNA", at positions 524 to 776 of the family's 1533-position model. The record is from RNAcentral.
UACAGAGGCCUCGAGCGUUGUUCGGAAUUACUGGGCGUAAAGAGCAUGUAGGUGGUCAUGUAAGUCAGAUGUGAAAGCCCUGGGCUUAACCUGGGAAGUGCAUUUGAUACUGCUUGGCUGGAGUGCGAGAGAGGAAAGCGGAAUUCCAGGUGUAGGAGUGAAAUCCGUAGAUAUCUGGAGGAAUACCGAUGGUGAAGACAGCUUUCUGGCUCGUUACUGACACUGAGAUUCGAAAGCAUGGGUAGCAAACAGG